This 155-nucleotide non-coding RNA is filed under the name Fictibacillus arsenicus. Its description in RNAcentral is "FMN sequence". It matches the Rfam family "FMN riboswitch aptamer (RFN element)". Rfam says of the family: The RFN element is a highly conserved domain that is found frequently in the 5'-untranslated regions of prokaryotic mRNAs that encode for flavin mononucleotide (FMN) biosynthesis and transport proteins. This element is a metabolite-dependent riboswitch that directly binds FMN in the absence of proteins. The record is from Rfam by way of RNAcentral. Lineage: Bacteria; Bacillati; Bacillota; Bacilli; Caryophanales; Fictibacillaceae.
AUCCAUCUUCGGGGCAGGGUGAAAUUCCCGACCGGCGGUAAUUGAAGAUUCCCUCUUCAUCAGCCCGUGAGCGGAAAAAUUCAGCAAUGAAUUUUUCAUGCUGAUCUGGUGUAACUCCAGAGCCGACAGUAUAGUCUGGAUGGGAGAAGAUGUUG